UACAUGGGGUGCAAACGUUGCUCGGAAUCAUUGGGCGUAAAGCGCGCGUAGGCGGUUACUUAAGUUGGAUGUGAAAGCCCUCGGCUUAACCGAGGAAGUGCAUCCAAAACUGAGUAGCUAGAGUACGAAAGAGGGUCGCGGAAUUCCCGGUGUAGAGGUGAAAUUCGUAGAUAUCGGGAGGAACACCGGUGGCGAAGGCGGGUCUCUGGGCCGAUACUGACGCUGAGGAGCGAAAGCGUGGGGAGCGAACAGG
RNAcentral lists this ribosomal RNA (253 nucleotides) under uncultured bacterium. Its description in RNAcentral is "partial 16S ribosomal RNA". It matches the Rfam family "Bacterial small subunit ribosomal RNA", at positions 524 to 776 of the family's 1533-position model. The record is from RNAcentral.